RNAcentral lists this long non-coding RNA (2217 nucleotides) under Marmota monax (woodchuck). Lineage: Eukaryota; Metazoa; Chordata; Mammalia; Rodentia; Sciuridae. The record is from RNAcentral.
GUUUAGUUUUUAAAGAGCUCUGGUGCUAUUUAAAAAAAAUCGCUGUACUAAAUUUAUAUUCUAGCAACAGUAUGAAAGGGGUUCUUUCUUCCAUAUCCAUAUAGUCAGAGUACUAGCUACUUUUCAGUUUUCUAGUACUUGCCAUCCUAAUAACUGUGCUCAGGCUGCAGGAGGUCUUAUACUUGACUGGUGCACUAAAUUCCUGAUGCAAAUUUCCUAGAAUUCAGGCUGCCAAGUAGCCACUGGAAGAUAUUUUGAACCAUUUCUAGAAAUAAAUGAAAUAAACAGGGAUCUGUAGAUGGACUUUCUGGUGCAUGCCUAAAAUCCCCACAGCUGGGGAGGCUAAGGCAGGAGGAUUGCAAGUUCAAAGCCAGCCUAAGCAACUUAGCAAAGACCCUAAGCAGCUGAGCAUGACCCUUUCUCAAAAUAAAAAAUAAUAAAAGGACCAGGGACAUGAUUCAGUGGUAAAAUGCUCAUGGCUCACUUCCUGGUACAAAAUAACAACAGUGACACAAAACCAAACUAGGGACUUGUGAUUUUAACCCUUUUUCUUCACUCCUUGGGGGGAUUGUAGUCUAUGGAAGUGCAUGCACACCAAUGUGAAGCCACUCCUCUGUGAUGUAGGGAGAUACACACACAAUUGCUAUCUCUCCCAAAAUUUGGGGGCUUGAGAUGUAGUCCAUUGAAUGGAAUGAGUUAAAGUUGGGGUAUUUGGUACAUGGUCCGAUUUCUUAGAGAAAGAAUUGGCAGGCCUUGCGUUUCUACUGAGGAGCUGGAGGAAUGGGUGCAGGAAGUGCUGCACUCCCACUUGGGCUUCCUGUGGUGAACUGUGUUUCCCUGUUAACUCUGGGGCUGGCCACAUAGAAGCUCAGCUGUUAGCAACAGCAGUUUGCAGAGUUUGUUGGCAAAUCCCUUCUAGGGAUAAAUUGGGACCCUGGAGAUUUAACUCUUCCUCUGCUCUCAUCCCAGGGAGUGAAGCCCAGGGAUUGUGGAUAGCCAUAGAAAACCACCAUUUUUUCCUCUGCUCUCAAUAAUUGUGUCUAUCUAGUUCCUUUCUCUCUGAGCACCAGAUAAAUUAAGAUCCAAACUUACAAGCGAUUUACAGUUAAAUAUACUAUAUUUAUGACCCCAAUCUUCUCUGCUCAGGGUGACACUGGAUUUGGGGUAUUCUGUCUCGAUUAUAUGCAGAUGGCUUAAGGCAGGAAUCAUACUUAAAUGUGCCCCAAAUUUUCCUGCUUAUCUGAUGGUAGAUAUUUUCUCAGUUGUCCACUGUAUAUAAGUUUCUGAACUCAUAAUUUAUGAGUCUGUUUAAGAGGGUCUCCAAACAGGAACAGAUGUUUUGAGAGUCAAGAUAGAGAUUCAGGGCCACUUAUUCUGCUCUAUUUUGAAUAUCAUCCUACUUAACAUCUGCUUUGGGGGGGUACUGUGCCAUAAUCUCAGAGCUAUACCCAUGCUGCACACAGACUGCCAGUGAUCUUUGCCUCCAGUUCUAACAUCUACCUUUAGGUUGGGUUGUGUCAGUCAUUCACACUAAAUACUUUCCUUGAUGGAGUUGGAUGUAUGUAGGGCCUUCCAUUGCAUUUAACAAUACAAAUGAUAUUUAUGUACAUAUGUAUUUAUCUAUGGAAUUUCUGUGAUUCUGAGUCUUUAUUUUUGCAAUACUGUAGUUUAAUACUAUAUAUUAGUGUCAGGUAAUGAUAUCUGCUUCUUUUCCUCUUACAGUUCAGAGAUCUCUUGACUAGUUUAAUAUAUAUUUAACUUUCCAGAAGAAUUUUAGAACUCUUUGCUUUGGUCACUUCUUCAAUUAAAACAAAACAUGCUGAAAUUUUUCUUGGGGGGUGGAACUUUUUUAUUCUAUAUUUUUUAUUUAUUCUGAUUAGUUGUACAUGAGAACAGAAUGUAUUCUGACACAUUGUACACAAUUGGGGCACAAAUGCUCUUUCCUCUGGCUGUACAUGAUGCAGAGUUACAUUAGUUGUGCAAUCAUACAUGUAUCUAGGGAAAUAAAAUCCAUCUAAUUCCACAUCCUGCCAGCCUGCCACAUCUUCUUCUGCCACUUUCCAUGUUCUGUACAUCUUUUCUAUGUGUUAAAUUUCCUAAGUUACGAGAAGCUUGUAUACAUAAUAAAGUGUUUUCCUAUAUUCUGAAUAGUUAUAUCAGAUUAUUCAAGAUUUUAGGUAGUUGUAGGUCCCCCAAUUUAUAGAAAGUGGAUAAGAG